RNAcentral lists this ribosomal RNA (2981 nucleotides) under Salmonella enterica subsp. enterica serovar Typhimurium. RNAcentral's name for it is "bacterial LSU rRNA". It matches the Rfam family "Bacterial large subunit ribosomal RNA". The record is from RNAcentral. Lineage: Bacteria; Pseudomonadati; Pseudomonadota; Gammaproteobacteria; Enterobacterales; Enterobacteriaceae.
ACUAAGCGUACACGGUGGAUGCCCUGGCAGUCAGAGGCGAUGAAGGACGUGCUAAUCUGCGAUAAGCGCCGGUAAGGUGAUAUGAACCGUUAUAACCGGCGAUUUCCGAAUGGGGAAACCCAGUGUGAUUCGUCACACUAUCAUUAACUGAAUCCAUAGGUUAAUGAGGCGAACCGGGGGAACUGAAACAUCUAAGUACCCCGAGGAAAAGAAAUCAACCGAGAUUCCCCCAGUAGCGGCGAGCGAACGGGGAGGAGCCCAGAGCCUGAAUCAGCAUGUGUGUUAGUGGAAGCGUCUGGAAAGGCGCGCGAUACAGGGUGACAGCCCCGUACACAAAAGCGCAUGUGCUGUGAGCUCGAUGAGUAGGGCGGGACACGUGGUAUCCUGUCUGAAUAUGGGGGGACCAUCCUCCAAGGCUAAAUACUCCUGACUGACCGAUAGUGAACCAGUACCGUGAGGGAAAGGCGAAAAGAACCCCGGCGAGGGGAGUGAAAAAGAACCUGAAACCGUGUACGUACAAGCAGUGGGAGCACAGGUUUACCUGUGUGACUGCGUACCUUUUGUAUAAUGGGUCAGCGACUUAUAUUCUGUAGCAAGGUUAACCGAAUAGGGGAGCCGGAGGGAAACCGAGUCUUAAUUGGGCGUUAAGUUGCAGGGUAUAGACCCGAAACCCGGUGAUCUAGCCAUGGGCAGGUUGAAGGUUGGGUAACACUAACUGGAGGACCGAACCGACUAAUGUUGAAAAAUUAGCGGAUGACCUGUGGCUGGGGGUGAAAGGCCAAUCAAACCGGGAGAUAGCUGGUUCUCCCCGAAAGCUAUUUAGGUAGCGCCUCGUGAAUUCAUCUCCGGGGGUAGAGCACUGUUUCGGCUAGGGGGCCAUCCCGGCUUACCAACCCGAUGCAAACUGCGAAUACCGGAGAAUGUUAUCACGGGAGACACACGGCGGGUGCUAACGUCCGUCGUGAAGAGGGAAACAACCCAGACCGCCAGCUAAGGUCCCAAAGUCAUGGUUAAGUGGGAAACGAUGUGGGAAGGCCCAGACAGCCAGGAUGUUGGCUUAGAAGCAGCCAUCAUUUAAAGAAAGCGUAAUAGCUCACUGGUCGAGUCGGCCUGCGCGGAAGAUGUAACGGGGCUAAACCAUGCACCGAAGCUGCGGCAGCGAACGUAUCACCCAAGACAACUUUACGGAGUUGACGAUUGACGGAGCGAAGCGACGUCAAAGCGUUCAUUAAAGUCGAGUUGGCUUAGGGAUACGUUCGUUGGGUAGGGGAGCGUUCUGUAAGCCUGUGAAGGUGUGUCGUGAGGCAUGCUGGAGGUAUCAGAAGUGCGAAUGCUGACAUAAGUAACGAUAAAGCGGGUGAAAAGCCCGCUCGCCGGAAGACCAAGGGUUCCUGUCCAACGUUAAUCGGGGCAGGGUGAGUCGACCCCUAAGGCGAGGCCGAAAGGCGUAGUCGAUGGGAAACGGGUUAAUAUUCCCGUACUUGGUGUUACUGCGAAGGGGGGACGGAGAAGGCUAUGUUGGCCGGGCGACGGUUGUCCCGGUUUAAGCGUGUAGGUGUGUGUUCCAGGUAAAUCCGGUUCACUUUAACACUGAGGCGUGACGACGAGGCACUACGGUGCUGAAGCAACAAAUGCCCUGCUUCCAGGAAAAGCCUCUAAGCAUCAGGUAACACGAAAUCGUACCCCAAACCGACACAGGUGGUCAGGUAGAGAAUACCAAGGCGCUUGAGAGAACUCGGGUGAAGGAACUAGGCAAAAUGGUGCCGUAACUUCGGGAGAAGGCACGCUGACACGUAGGUGAAGUGAUUUACUCAUGGAGCUGAAGUCAGUCGAAGAUACCAGCUGGCUGCAACUGUUUAUUAAAAACACAGCACUGUGCAAACACGAAAGUGGACGUAUACGGUGUGACGCCUGCCCGGUGCCGGAAGGUUAAUUGAUGGGGUCAGCGCAAGCGAAGCUCCUGAUCGAAGCCCCGGUAAACGGCGGCCGUAACUAUAACGGUCCUAAGGUAGCGAAAUUCCUUGUCGGGUAAGUUCCGACCUGCACGAAUGGCGUAAUGAUGGCCAGGCUGUCUCCACCCGAGACUCAGUGAAAUUGAACUCGCUGUGAAGAUGCAGUGUACCCGCGGCAAGACGGAAAGACCCCGUGAACCUUUACUAUAGCUUGACACUGAACAUUGAGCCUUGAUGUGUAGGAUAGGUGGGAGGCUUUGAAGUGUGGACGCCAGUCUGCAUGGAGCCGACCUUGAAAUACCACCCUUUAAUGUUUGAUGUUCUAACGUGGACCCGUAAUCCGGGUUGCGGACAGUGUCUGGUGGGUAGUUUGACUGGGGCGGUCUCCUCCUAAAGAGUAACGGAGGAGCACGAAGGUUGGCUAAUCCUGGUCGGACAUCAGGAGGUUAGUGCAAUGGCAUAAGCCAGCUUGACUGCGAGCGUGACGGCGCGAGCAGGUGCGAAAGCAGGUCAUAGUGAUCCGGUGGUUCUGAAUGGAAGGGCCAUCGCUCAACGGAUAAAAGGUACUCCGGGGAUAACAGGCUGAUACCGCCCAAGAGUUCAUAUCGACGGCGGUGUUUGGCACCUCGAUGUCGGCUCAUCACAUCCUGGGGCUGAAGUAGGUCCCAAGGGUAUGGCUGUUCGCCAUUUAAAGUGGUACGCGAGCUGGGUUUAGAACGUCGUGAGACAGUUCGGUCCCUAUCUGCCGUGGGCGCUGGAGAACUGAGGGGGGCUGCUCCUAGUACGAGAGGACCGGAGUGGACGCAUCACUGGUGUUCGGGUUGUCAUGCCAAUGGCACUGCCCGGUAGCUAAAUGCGGAAGAGAUAAGUGCUGAAAGCAUCUAAGCACGAAACUUGCCCCGAGAUGAGUUCUCCCUGAGACUUAGAGUCUCCUGAAGGAACGUUGAAGACGACGACGUUGAUAGGCCGGGUGUGUAAGCGCAGCGAUGCGUUGAGCUAACCGGUACUAAUGAACCGUGAGGCUUAACC